This 278-nucleotide signal recognition particle RNA is filed under the name Escovopsis weberi. Its description in RNAcentral is "Fungal signal recognition particle RNA". It matches the Rfam family "Fungal signal recognition particle RNA". The record is from Rfam by way of RNAcentral. Lineage: Eukaryota; Fungi; Ascomycota; Sordariomycetes; Hypocreales; Hypocreaceae.
GACUGUAAUGGUCCAACGGUGAAGGCUCUCGUUUAUCGCGCCUCUCCCAAAUUCCCAUCCCCGUCAGAUCCCCCUCGCCGGCGCCCGGCCCGAACGCCGCGGUGGCUGCCCGCUCGCACAGGCAACUUGCGACGCCGGGUCACGCCCUAAGCAAUGGAGAUGACACUUGAGGGAGGCUUCACUCUGCAGAGGCAUCUCCCCCGUCGCGUGGCGGGCCGGAUUACGAUCGCGGGGGGCUUGGGUUGGGGAGGCGAGAUGGAGAAGCCAACACCUUUUUU